GUUUGGAAUCCGUGCUUCUUCAACUCAUGACCUCUCUGAAUUGGUUUUGUGAUAUGGACAUCUAUCCAGGAAGAACUGGUCUGAGAUCAGCCUGUUUCUCAUAGCACCUCCAGUAGCCAUUCGCAGCACUAGAGCCCCCAUGAAGUCAACAACUAUGACCAGAGCAGCUCCAAAAGCUUGGUCUACACUAAUGAGAGUUUGAAUAUUCCCUCAACUAAUGGCAAACCGUAUGAGAAAUUAAAUAGAUGGUCAGAAGACAUGCCAAUACAUUCAUCCAUUUUAUGCUGCAUGAGAUGGUGGUGACUGUGCAUCUCCCAGGCCUCAAGUAACACGGUAAUAUAGAAUAAUUCAUUUGCACAAGGCAGCAAAGCGCUUAAAAGAAAUAUUAAAGAG
Molecule: non-coding RNA, 393 nt
Organism: Pelodiscus sinensis (Chinese soft-shelled turtle)
Lineage: Eukaryota; Metazoa; Chordata; Testudines; Trionychidae
Source: RefSeq, a predicted model, not a curated record